Molecule: ribosomal RNA, 478 nt
Filed under: uncultured bacterium
Lineage: Bacteria
Description: bacterial SSU rRNA
Rfam family: Bacterial small subunit ribosomal RNA
Source: RNAcentral
AUCCUGGCUCAGGAUAAACGCUGGCGGCGUGCCUAAUACAUGCAAGUCGAUCGAUGGAUGCCCAGCUUGCUGGGAGGAAAUAGAGGCGAACGGGUGAGUAAUACGUAAGCAACCUGCCCACGAAGACCGGGAUAAUCCCCUGGAAACGGGGGACUAAGACCGGAUAGGUAACAGAACCGCAUGAUUUGUUAUUAAGGUUAAAAACACUGGUGGAUGGGCUUACGGUGCAUUAGCUUGUUGGUGAGGUAACGGCCCACCAAGGCGAUGAUGCAUAGCCGACCUGAGAGGGCGACCGGCCACAUUGGGACUGAGACACGGCCCAAACUCCUACGGGAGGCAGCAGUGGGGAAUAUUGCACAAUGGGCGAAAGCCUGAUGCAGCGACGCCGCGUGAGCGAAGAAGUAUUUCGGUAUGUAAAGCUCUAUCAGCAGGGAAGAUAAUGACGGUACCUGACUAAGAAGCACCGGCUAAAUACGUG